CCUACGGGAGACAGCAGUGGGGAAUAUUGGGCAAUGGGCGCAAGCCUGACCCAGCAACGCCGCGUGAAGGAAGAAGGCCCUCGGGUUGUAAACUUCUUUUAUCAUGGACGUAACAAGUUACGGGACUGGAUGAAUAAGUCACCGCUAACUACGUGGCAGCAGCCGCUGUAAUACGGAGGUGGCAAGCGUUAUCCGGAUUUAUUGGGUGUAAAGGGAGUGUAGGCGGGACUGUAAGUCAGAUGUGAAAACCAUGGGCUCAACCCAUGGACUGCAUUUGAAACUGUAUUUCUUGAGUGUUGGAGAGGCAGGCGGAAUUCGGUGUGUAGCGGUGAAAUGCGUAGAUAUACGGAGGAACACCAGUGGCGAAGGCGGCCUGCUGGACAAUAACUGACGCUGAGGCGCGAAAGUGUGGGGAGCAAACAGGAUUAGAUACCCCUGUAGUC
Molecule: ribosomal RNA, 443 nt
Filed under: uncultured bacterium
Lineage: Bacteria
Description: partial 16S ribosomal RNA
Rfam family: Bacterial small subunit ribosomal RNA
Source: RNAcentral